Oncorhynchus tshawytscha (Chinook salmon) is the source of this 1111-nucleotide long non-coding RNA. The record is from Ensembl. NCBI's taxonomy places the organism in Eukaryota, Metazoa, Chordata, Actinopteri, Salmoniformes, Salmonidae.
GUGCGUCUGUGUGUCUGAGCGUGGGUGUGUGCGUGUGUGUGUGCGUCUGUGUGUCUGAGCCUGGGUGUGUGUGUGUGUGUGUGCGUCUGUGUGUCUGAGCGUGGGUGUGUGUGUGUGUGUGUGCGUCUGUGUGUCUGAGCCUGGGUGUGUGUGUGUGUGUGUGUGUGUGUGUGUGUGUGCGUCUGUGUGUCUGAGCCUGGGUGUGUGUGUGUGUGUGCGUCUGUGUGUCUGAGCCUGGGUGUGUGUGUGUGUGUGUGCGUCUGUGUGUCUGAGCCUGGGUGUGUGUGUGUGUGUGUGUGUGUGUGUGCAUGUUUCAGUGGUAGGGAGUGUUUUGGGCAUUACUCUGGAUGGAGAAACACAGAAGAGAAAGGAAGGAGACAGAGGAUGAUGAAGGGGAACAUGAGGAGGAUGAAGGGUAAUAGGAGGAGGAUGAAGGGGAACAUGAGGAGGAUGAAGGGUAAUAGGAGGAGGAUGAAGGGGAACAUGAGGAGGAUGAAGGGUAAUAGGAGGAGGAUGAAGGGUAAUAGGAGGAGGAUGAAGGGUAAUAGGAGGAGGAUGAAGGGUAAUAGGAGGAGGAUGAAGGGGAACAUGAGGAGGAUUAAGGGUAAUAGGAGGAGGAUGAAGGGGAACAUGAGGAGGAUGAAGGGUAAUAGGAGGAGGAUGAAGGGGAACAUGAGGAGGAGGAAGGGUAAUAGGAGGAGGAUGAAGGGGAACAUGAGGAGGAUGAAGGGUAAUAGGAGGAGGAUGAAGGGGAACAUGAGGAGGAGGAAGGGUAAUAGGAGGAGGAUGAAGGGGAACAUGAGGAGGAUUAAGGGUAACAUGAGGAGGAUUAAGGGUAAUAGGAGGAGGAUGAAGGGGAACAUGAGGAGGAGGAAGGUUACAUGAGGAGGAGGAAGGGUAAUAGGAGGAGGAUGAAGGGGAACAUGAGGAGGAGGAAGGUAACAUGAGGAGGAGGAAGGUAACAUGAGGAGGAUGAAGGGUAAUAGGAGGAGGAUGAAGGGGAACAUGAGGAGGAGGAAGGUAACAUGAGGAGGAAGGUAACAUGAGGAGGAUGAAGGGUAAUAGGAGGAGGAUGAAGGGUAACAUGAGGAGGAUGAAAGUAACAUGAGGA